Molecule: transfer RNA, 88 nt
Filed under: Pyrobaculum sp.
Lineage: Archaea; Thermoproteati; Thermoproteota; Thermoprotei; Thermoproteales; Thermoproteaceae
Description: tRNA-Leu
Rfam family: tRNA
About the family: Transfer RNA (tRNA) molecules are approximately 80 nucleotides in length. Their secondary structure includes four short double-helical elements and three loops (D, anti-codon, and T loops).
Source: RNAcentral
GCGGGGGUGCCCGAGCCAGGUCAAAGGGGCAGGGUUGAGGUCCCUGUGGCGCAGGCCUGCGUGGGUUCAAAUCCCACCCCCCGCACCA